This is a long non-coding RNA of Mauremys reevesii (Reeves's turtle), 1165 nucleotides long. RefSeq lists it as uncharacterized. The transcript is spliced from 3 exons. Lineage: Eukaryota; Metazoa; Chordata; Testudines; Geoemydidae. The record is from RefSeq and is a predicted model, not a curated record.
AAAGACAAUAAGAAAAUGGUCCACAUCAUGUGAGAUACAGUGUCUAAGGACCCACAAAUCAGCCAAGGACCCCUGCCUGAGUCAGUGCGCAGGGUGGACUGGCUCUGAGGAUGAAUCGUGGCUGUGUAGCGAAGGAGACAAUUGUCUGUAGGACCCCUGCCUUAUUUGUCACAGAAGUUGGAAGGAUUUUUCCUACUGUGGACUCAAAGCAGCACCCCGCAGCGCUUUCUGCAAUCAACAGCCCAUCCCUUAGAACAACGUGUGUUUCUUGUCCAGGCUUUCAGUAGCAUGUGCACAGAAACACCACUGCAAAGGCAUAUGUGGACCUGCUAGAAAAGUGUCGCUGCACGAGAUGGCAUAGCAUGCCGCUGGGAGACAGCGGAGCUACUCAGAUAUGAAAAGGUCUUAGCGGCUGGGCUGUACAGCUCGGGAUGAUACUCACACAUUCUGCAACUCCGCAUCAAGGGUCUGUUUGCUGGAGCCAUCCUCUGCAGGGAACCUCAUCGCAGUCAGACUAAUUCACGGAUUUCUAUUCUUUUGCUACCAAAGCUGCGCAGUUGACUCAAGAAGUCAUAACCAGUCCAUUUCCAAUCAGAGGUUAGAUGCUUUAAGUGCUUGCUGUUUCUUGUUUGGAAGAAGCUAGUGUCAGCCCACUGAGCCUGUUCCAGUGGAAUCUCACAGAGUCAGCUGAGAAGAGGAAUAAACUAGGAGAAAGAAUACUCAUGGUCUGGUAAACCACAAACAUUUCUGCCCUGGAACAUCUGUGGUGUGUCUAAACUAACAGGAAUGUAAAAGCUAGUUAACUGGCAAUCCACCACCACAAACCCUUAAAGUAAUCUCCACUUGGGUUCUUGAAAAAUAAGGCACCCAAAAUCACUAAUCACUUGGCCUGGAUGGUCACAUGGACCUAUGUAACUUAGACAUCUGAUGUGUAACUCUGUAAUUACUUGUAUGAGUUAACUCAACAGGUAUUGCCAGCCUGUGUUCUGAUUCGCUUGAGUACCAUACCACAGCUCAGAAUGAAUUAUCACAGACAAUCAACUCCUAUUAUUAGGAAGGGAGGUGCUAAUAUUUCUUUUGAUCCAAUAAACACCUUCCACAGGGGUGACAGGGGAAAAAAAGUAGCAUCUUAGUCACUUCUGUCACUCUUCUAGUUUUCAAUAAA